AUGAACGCUGGCGGCGUGCCUAAUACAUGCAAGUCGAGCGAACAGAUGAGGAGCUUGCUCCUCUGACGUUAGCGGCGGACGGGUGAGUAACACGUGGAUAACCUACCUAUAAGACUGGGAUAACUUCGGGAAACCGGAGCUAAUACCGGAUAAUAUAUUGAACCGCAUGGUUCAAUAGUGAAAGACGGUUUUGCUGUCACUUAUAGAUGGAUCCGCGCCGCAUUAGCUAGUUGGUAAGGUAACGGCUUACCAAGGCAACGAUGCGUAGCCGACCUGAGAGGGUGAUCGGCCACACUAGAACUGAGACACGGUCCAGACUCCUACGGGAGGCAGCAGUAGGGAAUCUUCCGCAAUGGGCGAAAGCCUGACGGAGCAACGCCGCGUGAGUGAUGAAGGUCUUCGGAUCGUAAAACUCUGUUAUUAGGGAAGAACAAAUGUGUAAGUAACUAUGCACGUCUUGACGGUACCUAAUCAGAAAGCCACGGCUAACUACGUG
Molecule: ribosomal RNA, 496 nt
Filed under: uncultured bacterium
Lineage: Bacteria
Description: partial 16S ribosomal RNA
Rfam family: Bacterial small subunit ribosomal RNA
Source: RNAcentral